Helianthus annuus (common sunflower) is the source of this 577-nucleotide long non-coding RNA. RefSeq lists it as uncharacterized. The transcript is spliced from 3 exons. Lineage: Eukaryota; Viridiplantae; Streptophyta; Magnoliopsida; Asterales; Asteraceae. The record is from RefSeq and is a predicted model, not a curated record.
AUUAGGGGUGGUGUGUCACUCAACCAACGGUGAGGGCAAGCUUUCUAACAGUGAUUAGGUGUCUGAAAGUGGUUCAUGGCGGCGCUUAGGGUUCUGGCGUCCCUGUCUCUAUAUUAAGGUUCAUGGCGGAGUUUUGGGAGACGAAGCAUGGAUCGGGUCCAUGUCUUUGUUAUGCUUAACCUUCUUUUCAAAACACACAUAACCAUAGAUUGGAAUGAAAAGGGGAGCCGACCAACAGUUUUCCGGCGAACCGCUACGAGUCCAACUGUAGCGAUGAUGAAGAACCAGGUUGCGGUGACGAUUCGCGGUCUAAUUUCAACCAGCUUCAAAUCUAGAAAGUUUUUAGUAUUCGAUCUAUCAUGCCUACUGUCAGUGUUGGAAGGAACCUUCUUUUCCAAGCCCUAGGGUACACUUACACGCAAGAUGAAUACGACGAGUUACGCUUCGAAUUUGGAAUAGAGCUUGACGAUGUGGUGAGCAUUUGCAUAUCCUUACCCACCUAUGUGCAAAUAAGAUGUGCAUGAUUUAUCGAGUUUUAAAUAUGAUAUACCAGAAGACUAAGAAAACGUUUAUAACA